AGUGAACGCUGGCGGUAGGCCUAACACAUGCAAGUCGAAUGGCAGCACAGUAAGAGCUUGCUCUUACGGGUGGCGAGUGGCGGACGGGUGAGGAAUACAUCGGAAUCUACUUUUUCGUGGGGGAUAACGUAGGGAAACUUACGCUAAUACCGCAUACGACCUACGGGUGAAAGCAGGGGAUCUUCGGACCUUGCGCGAUUGAAUGAGCCGAUGUCGGAUUAGCUAGUUGGCGGGGUAAAGGCCCACCAAGGCGACGAUCCGUAGCUGGUCUGAGAGGAUGAUCAGCCACACUGGAACUGAGACACGGUCCAGACUACUACGGGAGGCAGCAGUGGGGAAUAUUGGACAAUGGGCGCAAGCCUGAUCCAGCCAUACCGCGUGGGUGAAGAAGGCCUUCGGGUUGUAAAGCCCUUUUGUUGGGAAAGAAAAGCAGCAGGUUAAUACCCCGCUGUUCUGACGGUACCCAAAGAAUAAGCACCGGCUAACUUCGUG
RNAcentral lists this ribosomal RNA (492 nucleotides) under uncultured bacterium. RNAcentral describes it as "partial 16S ribosomal RNA". It matches the Rfam family "Bacterial small subunit ribosomal RNA", at positions 29 to 507 of the family's 1533-position model. The record is from RNAcentral.